AUAAGCUGUACAUUUAAGACUUAGUAGCCUCGACUUAAAGACAAUAGAAAGCAAUCAAUUAUAUAUUACUCCUUCUGUCCCAUAAAGAUAAAUUUUUUAGAAAAAAUAUUUGUCCCACAAAGAUAGAAGUUUUAUAUUUCCAAUGCAAAUUUUAAAACUGUUUUCCCGUUUUACCCUUACUAAUUAGAUAAAUAUUUAUUAUUAUUUUUAAAGUAUAUUAAGAGGUUAAAAUUAUCUUUAUACAAUAUUUCUUAAAGAAUGUGAAAUUUCUAAAAAAUUCAUCUUAGUGGGACGGACGGAAUAGUAUAUUACGACUUAGUUGCUUGGGUUGGGACCACUGUGGUAAGCUCGACGCAGACAUAUGUUUUGACCUUUUUACAUCUCUUUAAUCACAAAACUAGUAUCAUAUAGUAUAUUAGAGAAAGUCCCAUUAUGCGUGGAUGAAACUAAUAUAAUAAAAUUAAAAAAAAUAUAAUAUUCUAAUUAAUGUAUAUUAAAAUAGAUUUAGUUAUUUUCACUUAUACUAAAAA
RNAcentral lists this small RNA (530 nucleotides) under Arabidopsis thaliana (thale cress). Its description in RNAcentral is "ATSL211960". Lineage: Eukaryota; Viridiplantae; Streptophyta; Magnoliopsida; Brassicales; Brassicaceae. The record is from RNAcentral.